ACGCUCGACACCUACGGGAGGCAGCAGUCGGGAAUAUUGCGCAAUGGAGGAAACUCUGACGCAGUGACGCCGCGUAUAGGAAGAAGGUUUUCGGAUUGUAAACUAUUGUCGUUAGGGAAGAAAAAGGACAGUACCUAAGGAGGAAGCUCCGGCUAACUACGUACCAGCAGCCGCGGUAAUCUGAGCGGGCUGGCAAGGC
This 199-nucleotide ribosomal RNA is filed under the name uncultured bacterium. Its description in RNAcentral is "partial 16S ribosomal RNA". It matches the Rfam family "Bacterial small subunit ribosomal RNA", at positions 328 to 539 of the family's 1533-position model. The record is from RNAcentral.